GUGGGGAAUAUUGGACAAUGGGCGAAAGCCUGAACCAGCCAUGCCGCGUGUGUGAAGAAGGUCUUCGGAUUGUAAAGCACUUUAAGUUGGGAGGAAGGGUAGUAACCUAAUACGUUGCUACUUUGACGUUACCGACAGAAUAAGCACCGGCUAACUUCGUGCCAGCAGCCGCGGUAAUACGAAGGGUGCAAGCGUUAAUCGGAAUUACUGGGCGUAAAGCGCGCGUAGGUGGUUCAGUAAGUUGGAAGUGAAAUCCCCGGGCUCAACCUGGGAACUGCUUUCAAAACUGCUGAGCUAGAGUACGGUAGAGGGUGGUGGAAUUUCCUGUGUAGCGGUGAAAUGCGUAGAUAUAGGAAGGAACACCAGUGGCGAAGGCGACCACCUGGACUGAUACUGACACUGAGGUGCGAAAGCGUGGGGAGCAAACAGGAUUAGAAACCCCAGUAGUCC
RNAcentral lists this ribosomal RNA (450 nucleotides) under uncultured bacterium. RNAcentral's name for it is "partial 16S ribosomal RNA". It matches the Rfam family "Bacterial small subunit ribosomal RNA", at positions 354 to 796 of the family's 1533-position model. The record is from RNAcentral.